This 258-nucleotide ribosomal RNA is filed under the name uncultured bacterium. RNAcentral's name for it is "partial 16S ribosomal RNA". It matches the Rfam family "Bacterial small subunit ribosomal RNA", at positions 793 to 1050 of the family's 1533-position model. The record is from RNAcentral.
GUCCAUGCCGUAAACGGUGGGCGCUAGGUGUAGGGGUCUUCCACGACUUCUGUGCCGUAGCUAACGCAUUAAGCGCCCCGCCUGGGGAGUACGGCCGCAAGGCUAAAACUCAAAGGAAUUGACGGGGGCCCGCACAAGCGGCGGAGCAUGUGGAUUAAUUCGAUGCAACGCGAAGAACCUUACCUGGGCUUGACAUAUACAGGACUGGGCCAGAGAUGGUCUUUCCCUUUGUGGCUUGUAUACAGGUGGUGCAUGGUU